CAUAUCCUCUCUCUGCCCAUUAAAAAGCAUGCAAGAAUAGUGAGUUAAAAACAAAACAUAAAUAAAAAAUGGCCAAACAAAGUUUAGAAAUACACACUGAGCCUUCACUACCUUAUCAAGCCACCAAAUAAUGCUAAAAAAUUCACUAUACAAACCUUGUUUGAUGUUGCUCCACCAUUCAAUGCAUGAAAACAAAUGCAUUGCUCCACCAUUCAAUUUUUGUUCUUCCACUCUACUACAAAACUACAAAACUACAAAACUAAAACACAAAUUUUAGAAACAAAACAUAGUUUAAAAAAUGGCCAAACAAAGUUUAGAAAUACACACUGAGCCUUCACUACCUUUCUAUUUUGUAAUUCAGUUUUUGUUCUUCCACUCUACUACAAAACUACAAAUUGUCAAUUUCAUUCAUGUUAAAAAUGCAAAUCUAAAACACAACAGUGUAGAAAUUAAGCUUAAGUUUCAAAAACAAACUUCAUAUCUAAAAAAUACAUCAGCCAAUUAAAUCUUCCAAACUAAUGAGCAACUAAUUGUUGUUUCCAAUAACAUAUUUUAAAAGAAAUUUUGGAAAUAUCAAAUCCUAAGCUAGGUUAAAAUCAACUUAAAAUCAAUUCAUAAAUAUCAAUUCNNNNNNNNNNNNNNNNNNNNNNNNNNNNNNNNNNNNNNNNNNNNNNNNCAGGCACCUACUUUUACAGGUGGAGGCCUGUCAGAUUGUUAGAAGAAAGCUUGAUGUACAAAGAAUACAAAUUGACACGUGUUUGCUUACACAUUCAUUGUAAUUGCAUUCAGUGCAGCAUCAAGAGAGAGCUCUAGUACUUCAUUGCUUAUCUGUAAAUUAAGAGAAGUUAAAAGUUUGACAGAGAAGGAGUAACUAUCUGAGAAAAUAAAAUAGGACAGAAAAUAGUUACCACAGGAGAAUUUGGCAACUGGAGUAAAGAUACAAGCAUAUAGAAAGGGGUAUUCAAGAGAAUCUGUCACAAAAAAAGUGGGAAAGUGAAAUAAAUACACACACGCGCGCGCAUAUGCAUGCAUGUAUCAUAACUGAAGCAUAACGGAAGCUUAAGGAAGCAUUUGAGAAAUGAGCAUUUGAGAAAUGAGCAUUUGAGAAAUGACCUAUUAGAAAGUCCUCGGCAACUUUUUCACAUGUUACAAAUUGGGACCAUUGGGUGCACACCAUGGCAAUAUUAAUACAGCAUACGUUUCACGCGAAGGAAGGAGGGAAUAAACAUGACGAGGAAUGAUAAGAUAAGCUUGACAAUCCUAGUUGAGGCAUCCAGAAAUUUGUGUGAAGACUCUGGGGCACUU
This 1305-nucleotide long non-coding RNA is filed under the name Trifolium pratense (red clover). Its description in RNAcentral is "long non-coding RNA (TPRA_LNC006406)". Lineage: Eukaryota; Viridiplantae; Streptophyta; Magnoliopsida; Fabales; Fabaceae. The record is from RNAcentral.